UCAUGGCUCAGAGCGAACGCUGGCGGCAGGCCUAACACAUGCAAGUCGAACGAACUCUUCGGAGUUAGUGGCGGACGGGUGAGUAACACGUGGGAACGUGCCUUUAGGUUCGGAAUAACUCAGGGAAACUUGUGCUAAUACCGAAUGUGCCCUUCGGGGGAAAGAUUUAUCGCCUUUAGAGCGGCCCGCGUCUGAUUAGCUAGUUGGUGAGGUAAAGGCUCACCAAGGCGACGAUCAGUAGCUGGUCUGAGAGGAUGAUCAGCCACAUUGGGACUGAGACACGGCCCAAACUCCUACGGGAGGCAGCAGUGGGGAAUCUUGCGCAAUGGGCGAAAGCCUGACGCAGCCAUGCCGCGUGAAUGAUGAAGGUCUUAGGAUUGUAAAAUUCUUUCAGUAGGGACGAUAAUGACGGUACCUACAGAAGNNGCCCCGG
Molecule: ribosomal RNA, 433 nt
Filed under: Caulobacter sp.
Lineage: Bacteria; Pseudomonadati; Pseudomonadota; Alphaproteobacteria; Caulobacterales; Caulobacteraceae
Description: bacterial SSU rRNA
Rfam family: Bacterial small subunit ribosomal RNA
Source: RNAcentral